UACUUUCUCAUGUUUGUAGUGCGUUUGUUAGCGCAAUAGGCAGAAUUAAACAUUCAGGCAGGCUCCUGGUUUCAGUUUGGCAAAAAUGUUCGUAUUUACUUUUGAAAACGAAAAAAAUUGGUGCUCCCGUUUUUAUAAAACGAAAGAUUCUUUCGCUUUCAAAAAGAAAAUUAAAAGUCAACGGAAAAAAAACUUUACGUUUUCGUGCUAACUGCUGGGGCAGCUCGAUUCGGUUACGUGGCUAAGAAUAAAUUUUUGCGCAUAACAGUGGAAGCGCUCAGAUUUUACAUAUAACGUUCCAUUACCAAUUUAAUUUUCCAAAUAUUGCUGUUACUGUUAGGAAGUCUUGAUCUUCCUUAAUAGCGCGUUUUCUGCCGUCGCUUUCAAGCAAUUGAAAAAACAAAAGACCUUUUUGGCAUGCUGUAUUUUUAGGAAACAACCAGGUCUACUGUUUGAGAAAAUCAAAAAUAUCCAUGAAAAUAAUGUGGGAAAUCGGGAGCACCUGAAAACGAAAACGGAACGUUUUGUCUGAAAACGCAAAUCCUGCCCGAUUAUCUACCAGGUUGCAACAUUUGGCUCAGAUCGCAUCAAGAAUAGUCAGAAUGAAACGAUUCCACGUGGCUGGUGUCGAUAUGUUUCACUUUCGCAUCGAUUCUGACACACAAAACCAGCUGACCUGGUUGCUUGCUAAAUAAACAGCAUCAUAAAAAUGCGUUUACUUUUUUUCAAUCGCUUGUUUUGUAGCAAAACGACUUUAGAAAGUGUGUGAAUUAAGAAGACCAAGACAUAUUCGAUACGACACUUCUGUAUUUAACAUGUCUGACAAGCUAUGCGAGACGAGAACAGUCUGUGCUGUUAUGUGCAAAAAUGUAUUUCUUGCCAACGUUCCGGUAAUCAAAUCGGACUGGAUCAGCUAUUUUUACCAAAACGAAAAUGCCCUCACCAAUUAUUUUAGGACCAAAUUUGAGGUUGUGUUGAGAAAAAA
Drosophila pseudoobscura is the source of this 985-nucleotide long non-coding RNA. RefSeq lists it as uncharacterized. The record is from RefSeq and is a predicted model, not a curated record. The transcript has 2 exons. Lineage: Eukaryota; Metazoa; Arthropoda; Insecta; Diptera; Drosophilidae.